RNAcentral lists this ribosomal RNA (255 nucleotides) under uncultured bacterium. RNAcentral's name for it is "partial 16S ribosomal RNA". It matches the Rfam family "Bacterial small subunit ribosomal RNA", at positions 524 to 776 of the family's 1533-position model. The record is from RNAcentral.
GACAGAGGUGCCGAGCGUUAGGCGGAAUCACUGGGCUUAAAGCGUGUGUAGGCGGAUCGUUAAGUACCUUGUGAAAUCCCGACGGCAUCAACCGUGGAACGGCUGGGUAUACUGGCGGUCUUGAGCCACCUAGGGGCAGAUGGAACAGACGGUGGAGCGGUGAAAUGCGUAGAUAUCGUCUGGAACGCCAAUGGUGAAAACAGUCUGCUGGGGGUGUGCUGACGCUGAGACACGAAAGCCAGGGGAGCAAACGGG